UGAAACUUAACAAUAGAUUUAUGUUGUUGGAAAUGCCUCAAAGAGUAAACUUUGUAGUUCUCGCUUUACUCGUUGGAUUAUGCUGUUAAACCAACGAGGUUAAACUACAAAACAAUUGCCUAGUUUUCCAUGGGUAUUUCCUGAAGGGUGCUGGAUCUGGACUGUGUGCCUGUUGAUUUUUGACAAAUGGCUUGUAUUUUAAAGGCCUUAAAAUGUCUCCAUGCAGAAUUCAGAGGGAUGUCCAGUCCAUGUGAGGUGACCUUUGGAAACUCUUUUAUUACCAGGAAAGGAAGUUGAAGCAUUGAAUGCUGUCAAGACUCCUCAGAAGUAAAUCACUUCCUGGCACUUCCGUCUUCAGGCCUGUCAGAGCUCAAGACUGCAGUGAUUGUUGCACUAAAUUCUUGAACAGGUUGGAGGACACUAAUAAAAGUCUUGAUACCAAACAAAGGGAAAGAGUAUGAAAAUAUUUUGGGUGGACUUGGUGUCAAAAUGGCCGCUUGUAUUCCAGGCAAGU
Rhincodon typus (whale shark) is the source of this 514-nucleotide long non-coding RNA. RefSeq lists it as uncharacterized. The transcript is spliced from 4 exons. The record is from RefSeq and is a predicted model, not a curated record. NCBI's taxonomy places the organism in Eukaryota, Metazoa, Chordata, Chondrichthyes, Orectolobiformes, Rhincodontidae.